RNAcentral lists this ribosomal RNA (424 nucleotides) under uncultured prokaryote. RNAcentral describes it as "bacterial SSU rRNA". It matches the Rfam family "Bacterial small subunit ribosomal RNA", at positions 355 to 796 of the family's 1533-position model. The record is from RNAcentral.
UGGGGAAUCUUAGACAAUGGGGGAAACCCUGAUCUAGCCAUGCCGCGUGAGUGACGAAGGUCUUAGGGUCGUAAAGCUCUUUCGCCAGGGAUGAUAAUGACAGUACCUGGUAAAGAAACCCCGGCUAACUCCGUGCCAGCAGCCGCGGUAAUACGGAGGGGGUUAGCGUUGUUCGGAAUUACUGGGCGUAAAGCGCACGUAGGCGGACUAUCAAGUCAGGGGUGAAAUCCGGGGGCUCAACCCCCGAACUGCCUUAGAUACUGGUUGUCUUCAGUUCGAGAGAGGUGAGUGGAAUUCCGAGUGUAGAGGUGAAAUUCGUAGAUAUUCGGAGGAACACCAGUGGCGAAGGCGGCUCACUGGCUCGAUACUGACGCUGAGGUGCGAAAGCGUGGGGAGCAAACAGGAUUAGAUACCCCCGUAGUCC